This is a non-coding RNA of Callorhinus ursinus (northern fur seal), 1858 nucleotides long. The record is from the annotation of a RefSeq genome assembly. NCBI's taxonomy places the organism in Eukaryota, Metazoa, Chordata, Mammalia, Carnivora, Otariidae.
UGUUGGAACGGUAUGACUGUAAGACACAAUUUCUCUGAAUCCAAGACUCUACACUCUGCACGGUAGGCAGAAGUACCUCAUCAACUAGACAAGGAAUUAUGAAGAGACGCUGGCGAGCUCUUCUGGGGCUUCUGUGGGUCCAUGUUUGCUGGUUCAGCCAAGGAGAGAAGGUGGAGCAGCAUCCUUCUACCCUGAGUGUGCAGCAGGGAAGCAGCUCUGUUAUCAACUGCAGUUAUUCAGACAGUCGUUCAGACUACUUCCCUUGGUAUAAGCAAGAGCUUGGAAAAGGUCCCCAGCUCCUUAUAGACAUUCGUUCAAGCACGGCCACCAAAGAAGACCAAAGACUCACUGUUUUAUUGAAUAAGACAGCCAAACAUCUCUCCCUGCACAUCGCAGACACCCAGCCUGAAGACUCAGCUGUGUACUUCUGUGCAGCAAGCACACAUUGCUUCCCAGGCACCUGCUGCCUGCACUCAAACCUGGGUGUGGGGCAGCCCCCUGUCCUUUGACAAAGACCUUCAAGUAUAGCUUUUGUGCUGUUGUUUGUCUGCAAGUGGAAGCUAAUGUGUUAGACAUUAAAGGCAUAUAAUAAGACUAUUAGGAUGGAGAUGACCCAGACAGGGUUAGAACAUUUUGUUGGACGACUGUUGUUUAAUGGAUUCUUGAAUGGAGCUAGUAAUGUUUUAUUUUGAAAUUAAGGUUUUAAAGAACUAUACAUUUGCCAUUGAGACUACUGUCCUAUAAAUAACCCCUUAGUACCAAUGUACAGUCCUUUUUAUGGAUGAGCACUUAAAUAUUGUGUUUCAAAAGUAGCAUUUUUAAUUUUUGUGAUCUAAAAUAUUACAUGCCAAAUAUAGAAAUAUGAAAAGUACAAAUAUGAAUGUGAUAAUUCUGUAAUAUAUAAUGUUGUUAACAUUCUUUUGGUCUCUAGCUAUUUUUAUUAUAAUCAGAUUCAUGAAUUUUUCACUUUAUGGAUUUCAAUUUGAGCAUUCCCCAUUCCAAUUCUUUAUGUCAAACUUCAGCAUUGUUUUAAUUUCAUGUUUAAGUUUUCAUUUAAUUAGUGCAUUAUAAUACCUUUGUGAGGUAUUUAAUUAAAUAGAAUUUCAUUUAAUUUGGUUACUCUGUAUUUCAGGCAAAAUCUGACCACCAUUUCUAUGUGCUUUGAUCACUUUCUUGCUCAGGAAUUAGGUCACAGGUUUUCCUUUGGAGCCCAGGGAUGGUAUGUACUAUUUGUGUGUUUGAGGGAAAUUAAGAUAGGGAGUGAUUUGACAAUAUGAGCUUCAGAUAAAACUCAGAAAUCUAUUCUCAUUUAUAAAAUUCUGUAUCUGUUCAUAAUAACUCUCUCAUAAAACUUAGGAGACAGAAUUUUGUAUUUCAUUCAUUUCUAUACUUUCAGUACCUAGGAAAACUUUUCCACAUAAUUGGUUAUCAGUCGAUGUUAACGAAAGAAGGAAAGGACAAUUCUGUUACUGACUCAUAAUUUUAAUUUAAGCUUUCUGUUUGAAUUAUAUUUAUAAAUUGAUUUGUGAAAAAUUAAAGUCCUUAAAGUAUAUAUGUGAUUAUUUAAUUGUUUGAGAACAUAGUGCUUCUUUCCAUUUUUAUGUCUCUUUUUAUUAAUGAUGCUCUGCUGUUAGAAGGUUUUUCAAUUUAUUCUUGGACUUGUAAUUUUGUUAUCAUUGUAAUGAAAAACUUUCUUUCUGAGGUAUAUAGAAAAACUUUUAUAAGCAUAUAUCAGCCACCUUAUAUUAUUAGUAGAUUGCACAAAGGCAUUUGGACUAAUGGCUAACAUAGAGAUGAGGUUCUACCAACCUCCCUCCACAUGUUCAUGUAUGACUGAAUUAAACAUUAUUAACCACAA